RNAcentral lists this ribosomal RNA (253 nucleotides) under uncultured bacterium. RNAcentral describes it as "partial 16S ribosomal RNA". It matches the Rfam family "Bacterial small subunit ribosomal RNA", at positions 524 to 776 of the family's 1533-position model. The record is from RNAcentral.
UACGGAGGAUGCAAGCGUUAUCCGGAAUCAUUGGGUUUAAAGGGUCCGUAGGCGGUUUAAUAAGUCAGUGGUGAAAGCCCAUCGCUCAACGAUGGAACGGCCAUUGAUACUGUUAAACUUGAAUUAUUAGGAAGUAACUAGAAUAUGUAGUGUAGCGGUGAAAUGCUUAGAGAUUACAUGGAAUACCAAUUGCGAAGGCAGGUUACUACCAAUAUAUUGACGCUGAUGGACGAAAGCGUGGGGAGCGAACAGG